UACGGGGGAUGCAAGCGUUAUCCGGAUUUAUUGGGUUUAAAGGGUGCGUAGGCUGUGAGGUAAGUCAGCGGUGAAAUGCCCCCGCUCAACGGGGUGAAGUGCCAUUGAUACUGCCUUGCUGGAAUGCGGAUGCCGUGGGAGGAAUGUGUGGUGUAGCGGUGAAAUGCAUAGAUAUCACACAGAACACCGAUUGCGAAGGCAUCUCACGAAUCCGCGAUUGACGCUGAUGCACGAAAGCGUGGGGAGCAAACAGG
RNAcentral lists this ribosomal RNA (254 nucleotides) under uncultured bacterium. Its description in RNAcentral is "partial 16S ribosomal RNA". It matches the Rfam family "Bacterial small subunit ribosomal RNA", at positions 524 to 776 of the family's 1533-position model. The record is from RNAcentral.